CUACGGGGGGCUCCAGUGAGGAAUAUUGCACAAUGGGGGGAACCCUGAUGCAGCAACGCCGCGUGGAGGAUGACGCAAUUCGGUGUGUAAACCCCUUUUAUAUGUCAAGAAAAUGACGGUAGCAUAUGAAUAAGCACCGGCUAACUCCGUGCCAGCAGCCGCGGUAAUACGGAGGGUGCAAGCGUUACUCGGAAUCACUGGGCGUAAAGGACGCGUAGGCGGGUUGGAAAGUCAGGUGUGAAAUCCUACAGCUUAACUGUAGAACUGCACUUGAAACUUCUAAUCUAGAGUAUGGGAGGGGGAGAUGGAAUUAGUGGUGUAGGGGUAAAAUCCGUAGAUAUCACUAGGAAUACCUAAAGCGAAGGCGAUCUCCUGGAACAUUACUGACGCUAAGGCGUGAAAGCGUGGGGAGCAAACAGGAUUAGAUACCCGUGUAGUC
This 439-nucleotide ribosomal RNA is filed under the name uncultured bacterium. RNAcentral describes it as "partial 16S ribosomal RNA". It matches the Rfam family "Bacterial small subunit ribosomal RNA", at positions 339 to 795 of the family's 1533-position model. The record is from RNAcentral.